AUGGCUAGUGCCUUGACCAAAGCUGUAAUUGAAAAAGCCCAUUUCCAGAGCAGUCUAUGUCUGGCAAUCAGACGUUCUUCGAGGAGAGUCGCCACGGUUUCCUGCUUCAACAGUCCUUGGACGGAACCGGCGCUGGUCCCCCACCCCGGCCGGCCGCCCACAGCCUGCCCUCCGUCGCCUCCACACCGCGCCCUGGGACCCCCAAGGCCCCCGCCCCGCCGCCAUCUCUCCUUAGCCGCCGCCAUCUCUCCUUAGCCGCCGCCAUCUCUCCUUAGCCGCCGCCAUCUCUCCUUAGCCGCCGCCAUAACGCGUCUGCGCAGGCGCGCCGGAACUCCCGUCAGGACUCAGAGGCCGCCAUCACCCGCCAGAUCAACCCGGAGCUCUACACCUCCUGUGUUCACCUGUCCAUGUCUUACUACCUUGACCGCGAUGAUGCGGCUCUGAAGAACUUUGUCAAGUGCUUUCUUCACCAAUCUCCUGAGGAGAGGGAACAUGCGGAGAAACUGAUGAAGCUGCAGCACCUACCAGGUGGCCGCAUCUUCCUUCAGGAUAUCAAGAAACCAGACCAUGAUGACUGGGAAAGCCGGCUGAAGGCGAUGGAGUGUGCAUUACAUUAGGAAAAAAACGUGAGUCAGUCACUACUGGAACCGCACACACUAGCCACUGACAAAAAUGACCCCCAUUUGUGUGACUUCAUUGAGACGCAUGACCUGAAUGAGCAGGUGAAAUCCAUCAGAGAAUUGGGUGACCAUGUGACCAACUUGUGCAAGAUGGGAGCACCCCAGUCUGGCUUGGCAGAAUAUCUCUUUGACAAGCACACCCUGGGAGACAGUGAUAAUGAAAGCUAAGCCUUAGGCUAAUUUCCCCAUAGCCACGGGGUGACUUCCCUGGUCACCAAGGCAGUGCAUGUAUAUUGGGGUUUUCUUUACCUUUUCUAUAAGUUGUACCAAAACAUCCACUUAAGUUCUUUGUACCAUUCCUUCAAAUAAAGAAAUUUGGUACCC
Non-coding RNA from Saimiri boliviensis boliviensis (Bolivian squirrel monkey), 1004 nucleotides. NCBI's taxonomy places the organism in Eukaryota, Metazoa, Chordata, Mammalia, Primates, Cebidae. The record is from RefSeq and is a predicted model, not a curated record.